UUGUAGUCUGCAACCCGACUACAUGAAGCUGGAAUCGCUAGUAAUCGCGGAUCAGAAUGCCGCGGUGAAUACGUUCCCGGGUCUUGUACACACCGCCCGUCACACCAUGGGAGUCGGAAAUGCCCGAAGUCUGUGACCCAACCUGAGAGGGAGGGAGCAGCCGAAGGCAGGUCUGAUGACUGGGGUGAAGUCGUAACAAGGUAUC
This 205-nucleotide ribosomal RNA is filed under the name uncultured bacterium. RNAcentral's name for it is "partial 16S ribosomal RNA". It matches the Rfam family "Bacterial small subunit ribosomal RNA", at positions 1298 to 1500 of the family's 1533-position model. The record is from RNAcentral.